UACGUAGGGGGCGAGCGUUGUCCGGAAUGACUGGGCGUAAAGGGUGUGUAGGCGGUUUAUUAAGUUAGAAGUGAAAUACCUAGGGCUUAACCCAGGUGCUGCUUCUAAAACUGAUAGACUUGAGUGCUGGAGAGGCAAUCGGAAUUCCGUGUGUAGCGGUGAAAUGCGUAGAUAUACGGAGGAACACCAGUGGCGAAGGCGGAUUGCUGGACAGUAACUGACGCUGAGGCGCGAAAGCGUGGGGAGCAAACAGG
RNAcentral lists this ribosomal RNA (254 nucleotides) under uncultured Eubacteriales bacterium. Its description in RNAcentral is "uncultured Clostridiales bacterium partial 16S ribosomal RNA". It matches the Rfam family "Bacterial small subunit ribosomal RNA", at positions 524 to 776 of the family's 1533-position model. Lineage: Bacteria; Bacillati; Bacillota; Clostridia; Eubacteriales. The record is from RNAcentral.